CCUACGGGAGGCAGCAGUGAGGAAUAUUGGUCAAUGGACGAGAGUCUGAACCAGCCAAGUAGCGUGAAGGAUGACUGCCCUAUGGGUUGUAAACUUCUUUUAUAUGGGAAUAAAAUGUUCCACGUGUGGGAUUUUGUAUGUACCAUAUGAAUAAGGAUCGGCUAACUCCGUGCCAGCAGCCGCGGUAAUACGGAGGAUCCGAGCGUUAUCCGGAUUUAUUGGGUUUAAAGGGAGCGUAGGUGGAUUGUUAAGUCAGUUGUGAAAGUUUGCGGCUCAACCGUAAAAUUGCAGUUGAAACUGGCAGUCGUGAGUACAGUAGAGGUGGGCGGAAUUCGUGGUGUAGCGGUGAAAUGCUUAGAGAUCACGAAGAACUCCGAUUGCGAAGGCAGCUCACUGGACUGCAACUGACACUGAGGCUCGAAAGUGUGGGUAUCAAACAGGAUUAGAUACCCCAGUAGUC
Molecule: ribosomal RNA, 460 nt
Filed under: uncultured bacterium
Lineage: Bacteria
Description: partial 16S ribosomal RNA
Rfam family: Bacterial small subunit ribosomal RNA
Source: RNAcentral